UACGGGGGGUGCGAGCGUUGUCCGGAAUCACUGGGCGUAAAGGGCGCGUAGGCGGUCAGCACAAGUCAGUUGUGAAAUCUCCGGGCUUAACUCGGAAAGGUCAACUGAUACUGUGCGACUAGAGUGCGGAAGGGGCAACUGGAAUUCUCGGUGUAGCGGUGAAAUGCGUAGAUAUCGAGAGGAACACCUGCGGCGAAGGCGGGUUGCUGGGCCGACACUGACGCUGAUGCGCGAAAGCCAGGGGAGCGAACGGG
Molecule: ribosomal RNA, 254 nt
Filed under: uncultured bacterium
Lineage: Bacteria
Description: partial 16S ribosomal RNA
Rfam family: Bacterial small subunit ribosomal RNA
Source: RNAcentral